UGGAUCAGAACGAACGUUGGCGGCGUGCCUAAUACAUGCAAGUCGAGCGAAUCAUCAGGAGCUUGCUCCUGAUGGUUAGCGGCGGACGGCUGAGUAACAGCCUGGGCAACUUGCCUGUAAGACUGGGAUAACACCGGGAAACCGGUGCUAAUACCGGAUAAUUCUUCACCUUUCAUGAAGUGAAGGUGAAAGUCGGUUUCGGUUGACACUUACAGAUGGGCCCGCGGCGCAUUAGCUAGUUGGAGAGGUAAUGGCUCACCAAGGCGGGGAUGCGUAGCCGACUUGAGAGGGUGAUCGGCCACACUGGGAUUGAGACACGGCCCAAGAUACUACGGGAGGCA
This 341-nucleotide ribosomal RNA is filed under the name uncultured Caryophanales bacterium. Its description in RNAcentral is "bacterial SSU rRNA". It matches the Rfam family "Bacterial small subunit ribosomal RNA", at positions 20 to 350 of the family's 1533-position model. The record is from RNAcentral. Lineage: Bacteria; Bacillati; Bacillota; Bacilli; Caryophanales.